GAUAAGUGGAAGCAGUAUUGCAAAAUAUUGCUGUCUGCUCUGCCAGCCAGCUGGCUUUUGGUCCUUUUUUCCAAGGCGGAAAUAUGCAUGGUGUUCAGUCUGAGUUGUCUCUGUCUUGAUUCACAAGAGUGGAUGAGAUAGAGUGGAUGUGAAAAGCAUGCGUAUUAUUGUAUCUGUUGGUAAUAAUCAAGAGAAGAAUGGCCAUGAAAAUUCAUCUUAAAAUCUGCCUCCAAGUCCUUUUGUUCCUUUGGCUUGAACAAAAGCUGCAAGGCACAAGUCCAACUGACUCGUCAGUCUCUGAUGCAAACCUGAUGUUUGAGAUUUUGCUGGGAGGGGUAGAGAUUGAUGAGGACAACAACGUUGUCCUGCUUGACAAGGAGCUGGCAUCGCUGAGGUCGGGAC
Molecule: long non-coding RNA, 402 nt
Organism: Monopterus albus (swamp eel)
Lineage: Eukaryota; Metazoa; Chordata; Actinopteri; Synbranchiformes; Synbranchidae
Exons: 3
Source: RefSeq, a predicted model, not a curated record